CAGAGAGAGAGAGCGAGUGAGAGAGCGACGGGGAAACCAGAGAGCCGAGCGAAAGAAGGUUAGCCAGCCAGCGGCGAGUGAAGAAAAUGGCGAUCACGCAGGAUGAAUGCCUCCCCUCGUAGAUGCUGCAAACGCGUUGAAUUUCUUUAGCCUUACAGUCGGCUUUCCUUUCCACUCUGUUGCACUUUAUACUUCAAUGAGAUUCGGAAUUGGAAGCUGUUGCCACCAAAGAAACUGAAGCAUCUUAACAGACUCAUUAAAGGAAACUGAAAGCACGUGGUCAGUGUGCUGAAGUAAGGAAGAGGUGCAAUUUAUGACACAUUAGGGUAUUUUCUCAGCAGUUGUUGUGGAAGACUGAUCUAACUGAAGAAUGCUGCAGUUUUAAAGUCAGAAAUAAGAUGUUUGUUUGUUUUUCUUUUUUUGUUAAAUCCUCACUUGGCUCGUGUGUUUCAAAUAAAAUGAACAACAUUUAGGAAAUGUUUCUGUGGUAAUGUGUCAGUCUUUGAAUGCAGUCUGUGUUGUCUUUGC
This is a long non-coding RNA of Astatotilapia calliptera (eastern happy), 528 nucleotides long. Lineage: Eukaryota; Metazoa; Chordata; Actinopteri; Cichliformes; Cichlidae. The record is from Ensembl.